CUCAGUGACACAACAACAGUUACAAUAACGGUUGAAGACUUUGACAACCUAAACCCUUAUUUUGAUCACAGUCUCUAUGAAGCAUCUAUUGAGGAAAAUCAGGCAGGGCAAUUGUCAGACGUCACUCCUGAGGCCAUAAAAGCUCAAGAUGGCGACACAGGCAUCAACGAGCCUGUCGUUUACAGCAUAACAGCAGUCUUUCCAAAUGAAUAUCAGAGCAACCUUAAUAUUGACCAAAACAGUGGAGUCAUCUCCGUGACAACAGCACUAGACAGAGAGGAAAUUGACCA
Molecule: long non-coding RNA, 290 nt
Organism: Sinocyclocheilus grahami
Lineage: Eukaryota; Metazoa; Chordata; Actinopteri; Cypriniformes; Cyprinidae
Exons: 3
Source: RefSeq, a predicted model, not a curated record